Molecule: small nucleolar RNA, 79 nt
Filed under: Amborella trichopoda
Lineage: Eukaryota; Viridiplantae; Streptophyta; Magnoliopsida; Amborellales; Amborellaceae
Description: Small nucleolar RNA Z112
Source: Rfam by way of RNAcentral
AGCCCAAUGAGGAAUCAAGACCUUUGAUAGGAAGUGCCGUAUGACAUACUGGUUGAUUAUAAAUGGGUCUCUGAGGGUU